AACGUAGGGGACAAGCGUUAUCCGGAUUUACUGGGCGUAAAGCGCCCGUAGGCGGCCUGACAAGUUGGACGUGAAAGCUCCUGGCUUAACUGGGAGAGGCCGUUCAAAACUGUCAAGCUAGAGUCUGGAAGAGGAGAGCGGAAUUCCCGGUGUAGUGGUGGAAUGCGUAGAGAUCGGGAGGAACACCAGUGGCGAAAGCGGCUCACUGGCCCGGUACUGACGCUGAGGUGCGAAAGCGUGGGGAGCAAACAGG
RNAcentral lists this ribosomal RNA (253 nucleotides) under uncultured bacterium. RNAcentral's name for it is "partial 16S ribosomal RNA". It matches the Rfam family "Bacterial small subunit ribosomal RNA", at positions 524 to 776 of the family's 1533-position model. The record is from RNAcentral.